UACGUAGGGACCAAGCGUUGUUCGGAUUUACUGGGCGUAAAGGGCGCGUAGGCGGCCAUUCAAGUCAGUUGUGAAAUCUCCGAGCUUAACUCGGAACGGUCAACUGAUACUGUUUUGCUAGAGUACAGAAGGGGCAAUCGGAAUUCUUGGUGUAGCGGUGAAAUGCGUAGAUAUCAAGAGGAACACCUGAGGUGAAGACGGGUUGCUGGGCUGAUACUGACGCUGAAGCGCGAAAGCUAGGGUAGCAAACGGG
Molecule: ribosomal RNA, 253 nt
Filed under: uncultured bacterium
Lineage: Bacteria
Description: partial 16S ribosomal RNA
Rfam family: Bacterial small subunit ribosomal RNA
Source: RNAcentral